GCCUACGGGGGGCAGCAGUAGGGAAUCUUCCACAAUGGGCGAAAGCCUGAUGGAGCAACGCCGCGUGGGUGAAGAAGGUCUUCGGAUCGUAGAACCCUGUUGUUAGAGAAGAAAGUGCGUGAGAGUAACUGUUCACGUUUCGACGGUAUCUAACCAGAAAGCCACGGCUAACUACGUGCCAGCAGCCGCGGUAAUACGUAGGUGGCAAGCGUUAUCCGGAUUUAUUGGGCGUAAAGGGAACGCAGGCGGUCUUUUAAGUCUGAUGUGAAAGCCUUCGGCUUAACCGGAGGAGUGCAUUGGAAACU
This 305-nucleotide ribosomal RNA is filed under the name uncultured bacterium. RNAcentral's name for it is "bacterial SSU rRNA". It matches the Rfam family "Bacterial small subunit ribosomal RNA", at positions 337 to 634 of the family's 1533-position model. The record is from RNAcentral.